This is a long non-coding RNA of Rhipicephalus sanguineus (brown dog tick), 2645 nucleotides long. RefSeq lists it as uncharacterized. Lineage: Eukaryota; Metazoa; Arthropoda; Arachnida; Ixodida; Ixodidae. The transcript has 4 exons. The record is from RefSeq and is a predicted model, not a curated record.
CGUCGUGCCGAGUUCUGUUUGUGCGGUCGACUUUUAACGCGCUGCCUCGCAUUGUGUGUAUUGUGUGUUGUAUUUCGUGGUUACUGACGUAAGCGCAACUAUACGCGGUACCAGGCAAAUAGUCACCAGAUGCCGACCGUGCGACUUGAAUCUCUGCGACUGCUUUGUUCGGUGUGACCGACGGACGCGAUUCAUAGUUUUGAAGAACACCUUCAAAUGUUUCCGCACGUCAGUGAGUAGCAGCGCCGCAAUCCUUUGUCGACGACGCGUUCUGUCGCCCUGGAAAAUGCUUUGACGCUCGGGGACGGCCGGUAGCUCGGCGAUUCCUCGCUUGGCGCACCAUUGGAAACCGGCGGUCAUCUAGCAGUGUACGCUGCCAGCGUAUUUUUUAUUGCCAGAGGUAGCAAACAGCAGUGCCUCGACAAACAGUGGAGUGCUGACCAUGCAGUCCAGAAGGUGGCUGAGGCAAGUAUGCUAUAGGAGGUGCUUAUUCAGGCAGAAGAAAUAAGCAUCUGUAGCCAACGUAAAGGUAAUGUACAAAGUUCCAUUUAAUGAAGAAGAAUCUUGUUUUGAGCUAGUCAUGUCGAAGGGAAACAAUGAGCGCUAGAUAAAUGAGAUGGAAAUGCAGAGUAACAAUGUUAUGUAUGCCAGCAACCAACUUAAGUUUAUUCAUGCAAAAGGGUUAUUUCCAACUGGUUCAUUUAGGGGAAGAGCCCACGGUUUCCACGAAUGGGCAUACCUGGUAGCCGUUGCACAACCUGUUACUGUGUUUUCGCACUCAUUAUUAUGUGCCACUUACUCUUGUGACGUUCCACCAAGGUGAAAUUACUUCACAUAAACAGCAGCGAGAAGGCUCUUGCUAGCCAGUUCAAUUAAGACAGCGUUACCGUAGCUUUUAGUUCCAGUAAACCAGCUAAGCUGUAUAGAAGAGCGUACUUCAUGUUUGUCACCAUGGACAGUGCAUUUUGCCUGGGAUCAUGGCUUAGUUUUGCAAAGGAAAAUGUUGCCUUUCUGUAAAACGUGGUACUGGGAAAUGGCAUUGUGCCAAAAAUAUUAAGGUUUAUGACUUCUUGCAGCACGCAUUGUUGUACAGGGAUGUUAGCAUUUUCAUAAAUGCAAUGCAUGGUGCUUGAAGAAUAUAGCGGCCCACUUUAAAAUUUAUAACUUCAUGAUUUCAGUAUCUGGGACGGACUUUACUGUAUACGAUUUGUUUCUGGAAAGCUUCAACCUAUCUUGCAAUUCUUCAAGGCCAAUACUGAAUUUGCUGUGUACAUUUGGCUGCACAUUCUCAUCACUUAUGCUAAACAACAGGCUUGAGUGAUGUGUGGAAUUCCUGUCAAUCAAUUUUAUUGAUUACCUCGGACGAUCUACUCUGCUUCCCACAGUUAUUGGGUGCUUUGUGUGCAUGUGCUAUGCAUGCUAGAAAUGAAAACAGGGAAUGCAGCUGGCAGCAUCAACGAGUACAAUGCCCAUAGGCUAUUAUGAGGUGCGAAAUGUUGCCACUGCUAGAAUUUACAUUAUGUGUGCAUGGUACAGCUGAUUGUGUAAUUUAGCACUUUCCAGCUACGCAGUUGGAGCAGAUGUCGAUCAUGUUUAUUGUGGUAUGGCACGGCCACCAAGUUCGUGCAUUCUGCAUACCAGGAAACCUGACACGAAGCAACGUAUUGCUGUGAUGGCAGCUAAGUGAGAACGAAUGAGUUUGUCUUCUCUGUACAUUUGUCAAUAUCAUUACACAGGCUUGUUAAGUGCAUUCAAGCGGCUUUAGCAAUGCACUUGCAGCUACAGAGCCAGUAAAGGCAGCCAAUUUCAUCAUCAGAGUUCACUCUGCAAAUCCCACUUUCCAUAAAGGGCAUUGUUUUGUGAUAGCUUAAGGUCAAAACUUGCUCAAUUAAACACUUCUUGGUGUCUGACAUUACAUGAAUUAUGAUAAUUGUUAUAUCUCAUGUGAAAUUAUGCCAUUGUUUUUUUUCAUAUUCUUACUUUGCAUACACACUUUACGACUGCACCCUCCCCAACCGAAUCUUUACUAGUGCUACAUUCUGUUAUGGGUGAAAACAAUUAUUGAACUAAAAACCAGGCCAAGGAAAGCAGUAUGAUGCCCUGUAAUGUAGGAGGAUGCCGCUAUUGCAGUGUUUAGUCUAGAGCUGAAUUUAAUGAGAAAGGGCAGCAAUGUAGGUCAUCUGUGGAUAUUUGCAGACCAUAAUUGUGUUGUGGUCAUUUUGUUAUCGCAGGAAGCAUCUUCAAAAAGCAGUGCUACAAGGAUGUGAGCAGCAGUUUCCCUUCAACGAACGGGUCAAAUUCAUGGAAGCCACGUGCCUGCUGCUUCUGGCCUACACAAACAUGCAGCCACCAUAGUAAAGUUCUUGCAAAGACAUUCUACACGAACUUGCCCAAAGGCGGAAGGAAGGCACGCACAGAUGGACGCACAGAAAUCAUGGGGCUGCCGUAGAAGCUGUGAAUGAGCAUUAACCUACGUACAGAAAGGAGCGAAGUGGAGCUGUCCAUGGGCCGUGCACACAGUUUCAUAAGCAGGCUUGCAACACUUUUGACAAAUAUGUUCCUGAAUACAUCUGCCAAAGUGGCAUUUAAAGAAGCAUGUAGUAGUGUACUUCACUGUUUAUUUGGCAUGAAGCAGCAGGUAUGCU